CUGGUUUCUCUUCAGAUCGCAUAAAUCUUUUGCCUUUUACUAAAGAUUUCCGUGGAGAAACAGCGUUG
This 68-nucleotide small nuclear RNA is filed under the name Alligator mississippiensis (American alligator). Its description in RNAcentral is "U5 spliceosomal RNA". It matches the Rfam family "U5 spliceosomal RNA", at positions 6 to 75 of the family's 117-position model. From Rfam's summary of the family: U5 RNA is a component of both types of known spliceosome. The record is from Rfam by way of RNAcentral. Lineage: Eukaryota; Metazoa; Chordata; Crocodylia; Alligatoridae.